AGCCGCGUCUGCAACCUACACCACAGCUCACGGCAACGCCGGAUCGUUAACCCACUGAGCAAGGGCAGGGACCAAACCCGCCACCUCAUGGUUCCUAGUCGGAUUCGUUAACCACUGCGCCACCACGGGAACUCCCAUAUUUUUCUUUUGCUUAAGUUUCACUGGCUGUGUUUUUUUAUAAACCUUUACAAGCAUUGAGUAAGGCACUUGCCACAUAUUAGGUGCUUAGUAAGAUGGUUUUUAAGGAGGAGAGCAUGAUUAAUUUGGCUCAUUUAAGUGCUACUUCUGGAAAUACCCACAAGGCUAUUCAAAUGGCCUAUUCAGAGAAUCAAUCUCCACUUCCCCCACCCACUUCCAGUUCCCCUCAGGGUAAUCAACUUUCUCUUCAGAAGCUGGCAAGCAGUUUUUUGCACAUUUGGUUUACUCAGUUUGUAAAGCUUCAAGCAUUCAGAGAAUGAUCAGAAUUACAUUCAUCCGUAGCUAAGAUGCACACUGUUCUCUUGGGGAUUUGAUGUAGUUUUUCCAAAUCAGCUAAAUGCUCUCUUGAAGAAUUAUUGGUGGGAAGGAGAGGCUGUGAAUAACCUAGCAGACAUCAUCAUUCAGAAUGUAUCCUUCAAGCCCUGCACUGGGUUCUCAUGUUACCAAGAAAAGAGCUUCUGAGGUUGUUCAGAGAGAUGUUGAAGGCAGCUCCAUUGGGACCUCCUGGGAGGGAAAGACCAGAUGGAGGAGGCUCUUGGGCAAAAGAAAUCCCCAAAGAAUGUCUCCCGGCUGUUUUUAUUCACCUCAAAUACCCCAGCUCUGCUUCAUCUUCCCAAGGCCCAUCUUCUAGAUCAGUGAACCAGAUGAAAAACAGGCCAUUUUCCUUUGUUUACAUCUUGACUGGGAAGAUCAGGUCUCCAAAGGGAGGAUUAUUUCAAGACUGCUUUGGACCUUACCUUUGGAUUUUUCACACGUCACUAUUACCUAUCAUUCUGUGCCUCACCUCACCCCCACCCCAUAUACACACUGUGUAAUCAAUGUCAUCCUUCCUUCUGCAAAAGAUGUUUUAUUUAGCUUUGUGGCCUAAUGACCCCCUUCUUGCCUUAGAGACAAUGAAUGGACAGUUUGAGUUUGGAAUUCCUAUAGUUUGGCCAGUGGAACUAACCCUCUAAUUAAGAUUUCCUGUUCACUAACAAGCACCACUCUCCCCAGGCCUGCAUUUUGGUUCAAAAGUACAAGACAAACAAGGGAUUGAAAAGACUAAAUGUGUGAGAGUUUUAAUUUUCCUCUGGGGGGAAAAAAACAACAACAACAAGUUAUGAUUUUCCUCCAAGCAAAAAAACUGUUUUCCAUAUGUUUCCAAGAAAAAAACUGCUUUUCUGUAAUUCUGCACGUUCCAUGGAUGGUUCCAGUGGGGGGAUCCUAGGAAGCAGCACGUUUUCUCUUGUUGGAGGGAAAAUGUGUUUUCCAACUCACAGUCUCUGUGCUCUGGUAAUUGGGCUUGGGGCGCCCACUCCAAUCCACUUCUGAAAGGGAGCCAGAGAAGGAGGCGGAGCUGGUUUGGUUUCCAGAAGCUGUGAAAGCCGCUGGGUGGGGGCCCAGCAAGGCCUGUCCUCAUGGGCCUGAGGAAGCUGCUCUUCCAUACUCCUGUCCCUGCCCCCAGGGCAGAUGGGGGCGGGGGUGUGCCUUCUGCAGAAAGAUGGUCUAGAAUAACUUCUGCAGUGUAACCUCUGAACUCUGGCUCCUGGGACACCUGUAGCCCCCACUCUCAAACCAGGGGUCUCAGGUGACCUUUCAAAUCCUUGCUAAAAUGUUAAAGACCCCUGACCUUAUCAUUCCCCUAUUUCAAUACCUUCAAUAGUUCUCUCAUUGCUUUUAGGAUACAGACCAUAUUCCAUAUUACUGAGAUUUUCAAUUCUCAGUAACCUGAUUCUACUGUAGCUUUGCAGUUUUUUCUCAUUGCUCCCUCUAUAAUCCUCUCUCCACUCCCCUUCCCAACUCUUGUCAUUUUCUCACCUCCAGCACACGGAAGUGUGUGCAGUCCCUUAAAUGCACUGGACUCUUGGGACUCAGCUGGGGAUGUUGUUCCUGGGGACGGGAAGAAUCCACACGUGCUCCACCUUGCAGACUCCUGUUCGUACUUCAGUCUCAACAUGGGAUUGCUUCCUCCAGGAAGCUUUCUUUCCAGACUGAGGUGGGUGUCCCACUACUCAUUGCCAUAGCUCACUGUGCUUAUCACAUCACAGCUAUUCAUUGACAAGUAGUACAGAGCAUGCUUACGGAGCAGCCCCUGGGCUAGGCCCUGGGGUUACAGUGCAAAGAAAAUAGUAAUAAGUAAAACAAGCAAAUAUGGGGGGGGGGGGAAUUUGUGCUAAGUACUGGGAAAGAAGAAGAUAUAGACAUGGAAAAUAAGGAGUGGUGUACAGAUGUCCUAUACUAUUUUAUUCGAACUUCCUCUUUACCUCUGUGUCUUUCCAACAGACAGCAAUUUCUCCAGAGCAAAGAUUUAUAUUAAUCACUUCUUUAUUUCUAAUGCACAACAUAGGAUAUGGCAUAUAGAAGGCACUUGAUACGAGUUCGUGGUUUGAAUCAUAACCAUUUUCUGUUCCAUUUCUUGGCCUGUGUUCAACUCUUAUCAAGAAAUUUGGAAAUUUCAAAUCUUUUUUCCAGGAGGGGUAAACUGGGUAAUUAAAGGGACAAAGAACAAAGACAUUUGUUCAUUUGGAAAUCAGCUUUCUAAUCUGCCAUGUACCUAUCGUCAUUCAUGUGAUAGGAGAGUGUUUUAAAAUAUGUCCUUGGCCAUGAUGGAAGAUAAUAUAAGUAAAAAAGAAUACAUAUAUAUUCUAAGUCAUUUUGAUAUACAGCAGAAAUUGGCACAACAUUGUAAAUCAAUUAUACUUUAAUUUAAAAAAUAAAAAAUAAAAAUAUGUCCUCGGAGAGUGACCAAGAUGCUUGAGUAGAAAGACCCUGAGCUCACCUUCUCUUGGGAGCAAACCAAAAUCACAACUAUAUGAAGAACAACCAUUUAUGUAUUUAUUUGUCUUCUUAGGGCCGAACCAGUGGCACAUGGAGGUUCCCAGGCUAGGGGUCGAAUCGGAGCUAUAGCCACUGGCCUACGCUAGAGUCACAGCAACGCGAGAUACGAGCCGCAUCUGCAACCUACACCACAGCUCACCGCAACGCCAGAUCGUUAACCCACUGAGCAAGGGCAGGGACCGACCCCGCAACCUCAUGGUUCCUAGUCGGAUUCGUUAACCACUGAGCCACGACGGGAACUCCAAUAAGCAGGCUUUUAAUAUUGGAAGAAAGGCCCUAACAUAAUGAAAGCCUACACUAUGACCAGCAUCUUAACAGACACUUUAAUAGUAUUUCAUUUAGUCCGAAACCAAAUAUACAAGGAAUAGAUCAAAGCCCUGUCUUUUUAAUGAUAACAAAAAUGAGGUCCAGGGAGGUUAAGUGACUUGCCCAUGGUCACACAGGAAGUGGCAGGUGUAUGUUCAAAGUCUAGGCCCAGCUGCCUCCAAAGUCCUUUUUUUCACAGCAUCCAGCUGCCUGCCUGUUUCCACCACCCUCUCCCUGCUUUCAGCUUCAGACGUGUUCUUGGCAAAUCCAGAAAAAUCACCCAGGGGCUGGCUAGCUGCCCAAAUGGGGAAUGGGGUGACAGCCCUAAAUUCACACAUCCCCAGGCACCUCCCAGUAGCUGUUCCCUGGGCCGACACCUAUGCCAGUGUGCUUUACUGCAAACCCUGGGUAAGAGAUGAGUGGGCAAAACAGGCAGGGAGGAAGAAGGAUAAAUGGGAUGCAAUAAAACCCAGCCGGUUUGUCUUCAAGGCAGGAGUCCAAUAAAUCCAGAGGCACCUGUGCUUGUGACAUUCUGGAGGCUGAAGCUGCCACUGGGCUGGGCUUGGCUUGCUGGGAUACAGCAGUAAUUCCAAGGAGAUGAGAGAAAAGACUGUCAGGAGAGGGAAGAACCCCAUCUGUGAAGCCAGGGCAGCUUAGGACACAUCGUGAAAGAAGGGACAUUUGUACCAACCUGUCUGUGUAGGUGGAGAACCUGCUUCCCUGUACACAGAAUGCACUCACUCAUCUCUGUUAGCUCCCUCCUCAUGCCCCUCUCUUCCUUCUCAAGGAUUUAUCCCCAGGGUUUGUGAGACCCCCUUUGACUUAUUUAACAUGGAGCCAAGAUGAAUUCCUCGUGAACUAGAAACUGUUAGCUCUCCUUGCAUUUCUCUAAGAAAAUGGUCUGGGACUUCCUCUUGGUACUUGGCACGACUGAGUUUUGCCACAAUACAGGGGGCAGAAGAGAGCUGUGUGGUUCCAACUUGAGGGCUUAAAAAUCACCUGGAGACUGAGCUAGAAAUACAGACUGCAGUUUUACACCAGCAAUUCUGAUUCGCUGGGCGCCUCUGCGAGUCUGCAUUUAUUUGUAAGCCAUCUAUUGAUCACAAUUUGAGAAGCUGAGAGAAAAGUGUCAUUUAGAGUGGAUCCAUUAGCCCUGGACUAACAAGAACUCCAGGUGGAGCUGAGAAAAACAUCCUAGUGAGGGGCCUCAAUCCAUAUUCAUCACCUUUUAAAAGUUACUAAGAUCCUGGUUAUCUCUAACAGGUUGAACAUAAUAUUUUGUAUUCCAACAAUAAGGCAAUGAAAUUCUAAAAAUAGAGAUGAAGGGAGUUCUUGUCUGAGAAGUCAGGAGUUCCCAUUGUGGCUGGGCAGUUUAAGAACACAACACAGUACCAACGAGGAUGUGGAUUGGAUCCCUGGCCUCGCCCAUUGGGUUAAGGAUUUGGUGUUGCUGCAAGCUAUGAUGUAGGUCACAAAUGUGGCUUGGAUCCCUUGUUGCUGUGGCUGUGGUGUAGGCCGUCAGCUGCAGCUCUGAUUCAACCCCUAUCCUGGGAACUUCCAUAUGCCACAUGUGUGGCCCUAAAAAUAAAAAUAGAUAGAUAGAUAGAUAGAUAGAUAGAUAGAUAGAUAGAUAGAUAGAUGAUAGAUAGAUAUGUACAUACAUACAUACAUGAGAAUAGGAAGGCGAUCCUGAAUUAACUGGGUGGGCCCAGUGCAAUCACAUGAGCUCUUCAAAGUAGAAGAGAAAAGCAGAAGGGAAAGUCAGAUCGGAAGAGGAAAAAUGAUUUAGCAUGCUAUUUCUCACUUGAAGAUGGAGGAGCUAUGUAAGAAUGAGUAUGAGUGGAAGCUGACAGUGCCAACAACAAAGAUGUCAGUCCUACAACCACAAAGACUAGAUUAUGCCAACACCCUGAGUGCAUUUGAAAGUGGUAUCUUCUCCAGAGCCUUCAGAUAACAGCUCAGCUCUUGACACCUUGAUUUCAACUUUGGAGUACCCUAAGCAGAACCCAGAAGUGCCUGCCUGGAUUCUCCAUCCACAGAAUCAUGAGGCAGUAAGUACAUACUAUUUUAAGCUGCCAAGUGUUUGUUACACUAGAAAUUAAUCUAAGCACUUUUAUUUGUGAAUGUUUUGAUCUGGAUUUUUUUUGUUUUGCUUUGGUUUGGUUGGGCUUUUGAUAUUCUAAGACUUGAAUUCAUUGCUGGAUGAUUUCUCACAUCCAGGCUUCCUGCCUCUUUUUGAAGACCCUGUCAGAGUACAUGUCUUCAGAAAGCUUUCCCUAAUAGAGUCACCUUUUAUCGUGAACAGUGAUGGUCUUUGCCAAAGAAGUCCUUAUUUUGUUGGAAAGUUAAGGCUGUCAUGGAGGUGAUAAAGGAUUGAAUGUAUAUAUGGAGAAGGGGGUAAUGUUUGGGAGCCAAACACAAAAAUAGGUUUAUUAAUUCAUGUAUUCAAGAAAUAUCAAUUGAGCAUCUCCUAUGUUCUAGGUGCUAAAGAUAUACUGGUGAAUAAGAAAACAUCCCUCUCUGAUGAACUCUACAUUCCAGUAGAGGGAGUUAGAUAAUACAUAUGUAAACAACUAAUAAAGAAAAUAUUUCAGACAGUAAUAAGUCCUACAAGGAGAAAAGCUCCAGUAAUAUGUGGCUUCCAGAGAAAGUCACUUUAAAGAGGGUAGCUGUUAAAGUCCUCUCUGGGACAUAUUGUUGAGCUGUGACCUGAAUGAUGAGAAGGGAAAUAUGUCCAAAUAGGAGAAGAGCAAUUGCAAAAGCCCCGAGGUUUUAAGGAGCCUGACACAUUAACUGAACAGGGGAGAAAAGGAUCGUUUGACAAAGCCGCAGUGAGCCAAGGGGAUGACAUAACUGAGAUCAGACUGGUAAAUAGAGGCCAGAUCAGUCAGAGCCUUGUAGACCAAAAUUAGAAGUUUGGGGUUGAUUAUCUGUACCAGGCAGCCACUGGAUGUGGAAUAUUAUUGCAACUGCUUCCAGACAACUCUCCCUGUGUUCAGUCCCUUCCUUCCCAGUCGCUCCUCUAUUCUGAUGCACUGAGUGACCCUUGUACAUGGUAGUUCUGGCCAUGUCACUGUUUUAACUCUAAAAACUACCAAUGAAUCCCACUGCCCACAGAGUGAAAUCCAGACUGGAUGGGUGGACCCUCAUGAUAAAUCCCUGUAUUUACUCCCAGGCUUGUUUCUCGGCCUCCCUCACCUUAACUCCAUGGUCAGAGCACAUUAAACUAUGCUCCCCAGAGUUCCCAUUGUGGCUUAGUGUGUUGAGAACCCUACAUAGUGUCCUUGAGGAUGUGGGUUCAAUCCCUGCCCUCCCUCAGUGGGUUAAGGAUCCAGCGUUGCUGCAAGCUGUGGCUAGGUUGCAGAUGCAGCUCUGAUCCAGUGUUGCUGGGGCUGUGGUAUAGUCCCACCGCUACAGACUGCCACUCCAAUUCAGUCCCUAGCCUGGGAAUUUCCAUAUCCUAAGAUGCAGCCAUUAAAAGAAGAAGGAAAAAAGAAAAGAAAAAAAAAA
Molecule: long non-coding RNA, 6831 nt
Filed under: Sus scrofa (pig)
Lineage: Eukaryota; Metazoa; Chordata; Mammalia; Artiodactyla; Suidae
Description: lncRNA (ENSSSCG00035064665.1)
Source: RNAcentral